This 253-nucleotide ribosomal RNA is filed under the name uncultured bacterium. Its description in RNAcentral is "partial 16S ribosomal RNA". It matches the Rfam family "Bacterial small subunit ribosomal RNA", at positions 524 to 776 of the family's 1533-position model. The record is from RNAcentral.
UACGUAGGGGGCAAGCGUUGUCCGGAAUCAUUGGGCGUAAAGCGCGUGUAGGCGGCCCAGUAAGUCCGCUCUGAAAGCCCGGGGCUUAACCCCGGGAGGCGGGUGGAUACUGCUGGGCUCGAGUCCGGAAGAGGCGAGUGGAAUUCCCGGUGUAGCGGUGAAAUGCGCAGAUAUCAGGAAGAACACCAAUGGCGAAGGCAGCUCUCUGGGACGGUACUGACACUGAGACGCGAAAGCGUGGGGAGCGAACAGG